AGGAUGCAGCCCUCCCGCUGUGCACACCAGUUCCCCGCUCGGCACAGCUGCCUGCUCAGCUGGGGGUUGGAAAUCAGCACUGUGAGAAAAGACAGAAAUGGCCAUGAUGCGUGCCUCUCUCUAUGAGGAAAAGACUCAAUGCAACCCCAUCAAUAUUCCAAUUCAAUGCUUCACAGAUCUUGAAAGAAAAAUUUUCAACUUUGUAUAGAAAACAAAUAUUCAGGAUAGCAAAAAUGACCCUGAACAAUAACAAAACUUCUGGAGAUAUCAUUAUGCCUGACUUUAAGUUAUACUACACAGUAAUAGUAAACCCUGCAUGGCAUUGGUAUAAAAACAACAGGUAGAUCAAUGAAAUCAAAUCGAAGACCCAGAAAUAAACCUGCACACCUAUGUAGACUUGAUUUUUAACAAAGAAGCCAAAACAAUACAAUGGAAAAGGGAGGGCAUCUUCAACAAAUGGUGUUGGUUUACCUGGAUAUCUCCAAAUAGAUCUGUAUCUAUCAUCCUACACAAAACACAAGUCCAAUGGAUCAAAGAACUUAACAGAAAACCAGACACACUUAAUCCAAUAGAACAGAAGGUGGAGCAUAUCCUUGAACUCAACCAUACAGGAGACAACUUCCUGAACAGAACCACAAUGGCUCAGGCACUAAGGUCAAGAGUUAAUAAGUAGGACUUCAUGAAACUGAAACAUUUCUGUAAGUCAAAGGACAUUGUCAUUAUGACAAAAUGGCAGCAUACAAAUUGGAAAAAGAUCUUCACUAUCCAUACAUCUGACAGAGGGAUACUAUUCAAAAAAUCCAAAUAACCCAAUUAUAAAAUGGGGUACAUAGCUAAACAAAGAAAUCUCAAGAGAGGAAUCUUGAAUAACUGAGAAAUACCUAAAGAAAUAUUCAAUGUACUUAGUCAUCAGGGACAUGCAAAUCAAAACAACCCUGAGAUUCCACCUUGCAUGCAUCAAAAUGGCUAAGAUCAAAACUCAAAGGACAGCACUUCCUGGCAAGGUUAUAGAGCAGGGUGUACACUCCUCCACUGCUUCUGGGAGUUCAAACUUGUACAACCUCUCUGGAAAUUAAUUUGGCAGUUUUUCAGAAGAUUGGGAAUAGCUCUACCUCAAGUCACAGUUAUACCACUUCUUGGCAUAUACCCAAAAGAUACUCUGCCAUCCCAUAAAUGAUUAUUCCUAAUAGCCAGAAACUGGAAACAACCUAGAUGUCCUUCAACAGAAGAAUAGAUGAAGAAAAUGUGAUUCAUUUGCACAAUGGAAUACUACCCAGCCAUUAAAAUUAAGGACAUCAUAAAUUUCACAGGCAAAUGUAUGGAACUUGAGAAUAUCAUCGUGAGUGAGGUAAUCCAAACCCAAAAGGAGAUGCAUGGCAGGAACCUAGCAUAACUGUCCUAUGAGAAGCUCUACCCAGCAGCCAAUGUAAGGAGAUGCAGUAGUUCACAUUAGAUGGAGUUGGGAGAAAGAUCGAGGGACCCGAAGAGGACAGGGACUCUACAGGAACAUCAACAAAGUCAAUUAACCUGGACCCUUUGAGGCUCCCAGAGACUGAAUCACCAACCAAAGAGCAAGCAUGACUGACCCUAGGAUCUCUGCACAUACGUAGCAGAUAAGCAGCCUGGUCUUCAUCCUGGUCUCCCAACAGCUGGAGCAGGGGUUGUCCCUGAGCCUGCUGCCUUCUGGCCUGCCUGUGGAGCCUGUGCUCCUAAUGGAUUGCCUUGUCUGGCCUCAGUGGGAGAGGAUGUGCUUAUUCCCACAGUGAUGUGAGGUGUAAAGUAUCAGAAACCAGACUGUGAAUAAAGCCACGAUGAAGUUGAGGAGGCUCUCUCUGGAGGAAGACAGCAGGACACAUGCUAUGGAGAGGAAACUGGGAAAGAUGGAGAUGAGAAUUUAUCUGUAGGGGAGGAAGUGAAAGCAAUACCAAAGGGGAUGGUGGGAGGAGGGGUUGAAAAGCUAUAGAGAAAUGUAUUUUAUGUUUGCAUAAAUAUUGCAUGCACUAUAUGUAAAGGUAUGUACAUACAUAUAUAAAGAGCUAAAUGAAGAUAUGCCACUUGAGGCAAUAGCCAUAGACCAUAGAGCAAAAUCUCCAGGACUUCCUUCAACUUGUUGGUCAAGGGAACCUAAGAGACUCUGAACACAAUAUAGGUGAUUGCCACAGCACGUGGUUAAAUCCCAGAACUUUUAGGUAAAGCCCUAUUGCAGAAAACACCAUGUAGUUCAGACACAGGAUGGGGUGGAGCCAAGUUAAACUUGAACUGACCAGGAAUCCCCUCCCUGAGGGCUGCUUUCAUAGUACAGGAAGAGGCUAUGAAAGCUUCAGGGGAGAGAAAUAGCUAAAGUCCUACCCAGCUGUGAAGUCUAAGAACCAAAACCAUGGCCAGCUCAGCAGAUAUUCCCAUGGCAAGCUCACAGUCAACUGUGACUCCAGUUACAGAGGAUCUGAUCUAUUCUUCUGGCAUUCAUAAGCCCUACACUCAGAAGCACAUAUCCCCUAAUAUACUGACAUGUACAAAUACAUAAUUAAAACUAAUAAAAUAUUACGUGGAAAAGAAUUUAUGCCAUCAGUAUUAUAUGCCCCUUAUUAUGUCCUUGGACUGUGAGUUAUCAUAUAAGUUUUUCAUAGCUCUUUCAUUAAGUCUUUUUCCACUCCCUCAUUUUGCCAUAUGCUAAUACCUUCCAUGUUUAAAUCUUAGUUCUUCAAAUAUCCCCAUAUCUAAUCUUAUUUUACCUCUGUUUCUGCACCUCCACUUUCAUGGUGAGUCUGUCUUCAAUUACAAGGAUUCCAUAUAUACUCCAAAGUUAAACAUCUGAAAACAAAUUACCCAAGCUAGAAUACACCUACAAGAGAGAACACCCUGCACUUGUCCUUCUGAGCCAUUAUGAUCUCACUUAGCAUAUACUUCCAGGUCAUCCAUUUCUAUCCAAAUUUCAUAAUACUAUUUUUAAGAACAUGCCACAUUUGUCUUUCUGAGCCAGGGAAACCUCACUGAUCUUUCCAGGUCACCCAUUUCUCUGCAAAAUGUGUGAUAUUGUUUUUAUUUGUAGCUAGAUAAUAUUCCACUUUGUAAAGGUGAUAAAUGUUCAUUAUCCAUUUAUCAGCUGAUGGACAUCUGGGUUGUUUCCAUUUCAAAGCUACUGUGAAUACAGAAGCCAGUGCUCCACUAUAGAUGAGCAUCUAUAACAAUGUCUCCCAAUCUAAGGCUCAGGGAAUCACAGAAGAGUAGGUGGAAAGAAGGGGAGAGACAGGGAAAGGAGAGAAAAGCAGUGAAAUCCUGUCUCCUUCAUGUGCAUGGCAGACACACAAGUCAUGUCACCAUAGCAACAGUUGACUGCACAGACACAGACAAGAUAAAGCCCAUUUAAAUUCUAGCAUGGAUAGGGAAGGAGUCCUGAGGCCCCAUCCCUAGAUCAAGAGCCAUUGGCAGUUGGUGGUGGACAGAGAGUCACUUUUUUGGGGAUAGGUAGUACAUGACUCCUGUCCCAGUGCAUAACCCCACAUUUAUUUGCACAUAGGAAGCACUAAUUGGAUUCAGUGGGCUAUGAACAACAAGAACAAC
RNAcentral lists this long non-coding RNA (3561 nucleotides) under Mus pahari (shrew mouse). RNAcentral's name for it is "lncRNA (MGP_PahariEiJ_G0004384.1)". Lineage: Eukaryota; Metazoa; Chordata; Mammalia; Rodentia; Muridae. The record is from RNAcentral.